CUUUCGAAAGAGUUCAAAACACCUUCAGAAUGAAAGGUUUUCUCUUUGAACAGGGAAGAAACACUUCCAGCGUGCUUCAGUGGAGGGAAAUUCUCGCAGAGAUUGAGCUGUCUGGUCCCAUUGUAAGGCUGCUGGCGGCGACCCAUUGGUGGGAUUGACAUUGCAGUAAUUACCAGGCCCAUGGGCCCUCCGACCCUGCUCCACCACGAGACAUACUGGCAGCAGAUCUGAGGAUCACUGGCAUUAUCUCAGCACCAAAGACCUGAAGGCAAGUUGUCACCUGAACUGCAGGUUUCAUCUGGGAAGUGAGCAGGAGGUGAAGAGCCAGUAGGAGCCCACUGAUGAGCCUGAAGUCAAGAGGCCGCUGAGUGCCUGCUCUAUGCAUCCCCCCCAUAGGAAACCAACUGCCCUUGUUGAGGUGCUCUGAGCUGGAAGCAUGGACAGGGCUGCUGCAAAACGUGCAGGUAGAUGUUUUGUUUGGCUUAGGGACUGAACAGUUCUUGUCUCAGAUGCCAAAACAGUCUCAGGUCUCAGAGCACAGCAGUGUGAGAGACCUCACUCUGAAUAGUGCACUACAUGAAGACCCAUGGGCUUCCCUCCAAUACCCACUUCAUGACAGUGGCACACAAAAAAAAAUGGGUUCUUCUCUUUCGUCUGGAGAUAGACUAGUUUCAGUUCCUUUAACCUAAAGCAAUUGGAUAUGCCAGUUCUGGUGAAGACAGCCUCAGCCAGCUGUGUGGCUCCUUCCUCAUACUGCUGCUAUUGGUGAUAUGACUGUGAUCCUUGCAGAAGUUGACUAAAUCCCCAGUAUUUCUGAGACCUCGUGGCACUACCUGAUGUCUCCCCACCGUGGCUAUUUCUAUUUGGCUCUUCAUGUGUGGAAGAGGGCUCACAUGAACCACCUCAUCCUCCAGAAACCUACUUUCACAGUACAUGGCUGUGGUUGGGCAUGUAGCGUGAACUCUUGGGAAUCCUCUCCACAGCAAGGAUCCAUAUCUGAUGUGAUUUGGAUCAUACUUUUCCUGGAAAGUGGGAUCUGGCAAUGUAUCAUAAACACCUUAGCAGAUCUAGCUGUGCUUUGGAUGGCAGCUCCUUUUUGAGGAAUUAUCAUUAUGAGAAGAAAAAUGUUCUGAGAAUGUAGGUAAGCCCAGGAGUAGCUAAUAAAAAUGAGCCAACACCUGGAAGCA
RNAcentral lists this long non-coding RNA (1187 nucleotides) under Anas platyrhynchos platyrhynchos (common mallard). RNAcentral's name for it is "lncRNA (ENSAPLG00000018726.1)". The record is from RNAcentral. Lineage: Eukaryota; Metazoa; Chordata; Aves; Anseriformes; Anatidae.